This 206-nucleotide ribosomal RNA is filed under the name uncultured bacterium. Its description in RNAcentral is "partial 16S ribosomal RNA". It matches the Rfam family "Bacterial small subunit ribosomal RNA", at positions 568 to 774 of the family's 1533-position model. The record is from RNAcentral.
CGCGUAGGCGGCUCAUAAAGGCUGUGGUGAAAGUUCGGGGCUCAACCUCGAAUCGGCCGUGGCGACUUGUGGGCUGGAGCACUGUAGAGGCAGGUGGAAUUCCGGGUGUAGCGGUGGAAUGCGUAGAGAUCCGGAAGAACACCAGUGGCGAAGGCGGCCUGCUGGGCAGUGGCUGACGCUGAGGCGCGACAGCGUGGGAGCAAACA